This 1110-nucleotide long non-coding RNA is filed under the name Oncorhynchus kisutch (coho salmon). RNAcentral's name for it is "lncRNA (ENSOKIG00005029118.1)". Lineage: Eukaryota; Metazoa; Chordata; Actinopteri; Salmoniformes; Salmonidae. The record is from RNAcentral.
AUGGAUCCAGAGCUGCACCCAGAGCUGCACCCAGAGCUGCACCCAGAGCUGCACCCAGAGCUGCACCAGGCUUCUGGGAAAGCUACUGUACCAUACUGUAACCAGGCUUCUGGGAAAGCUACUGUACCAUACUGUAACCAGGCUUCUGGGAAAGCUACUGUACCAUACUGUAACCAGGCUUCUGGGAAAGCUACUGUACCAUACUGUAACCAGGCUUCUGGGAAAGCUACUGUACCAUACUGUAACCAGGCUUCUAGGAAAGCUACUGUACCAUACUGUAACCAGGGUUCUGGGAAAGCUACUGUACCAUACUGUAACCAGGCUUCUGGGAAAGCUACUGUACCAGACUGUAACCAGGCUUCUGGGAAAGCUACUGUACCAUACUGUAACCAGGCUACUGGGAAAGCUACUGUACCAUACUGUAACCAGGCUUCUGGGAAAGAUGCUGUACCAUACUGUAACCAGGCUUCUGGGAAAGCUGCUGUACCAUACUGUAACCAGGCUUCUGGGAAAGCUACUGUACCAUACUGUAACCAGGCUUCUGGGAAAGCUACUGUACCAUACUGUAACCAGGCUUCUAGGAAAGCUACUGUACCAUACUGUAACCAGGCUUCUGGGAAAGCUACUGUACAAGACUGUAACCAGGCUUCUGGGAAAGCUACUGUACCAUACUGUAACCAGGCUUCUGGGAAAGCUACUAUACCAUACUGUAACCAGGCUUCUGGGAAAGCUACUGUACCAGACUGUAACCAGGCUUCUGGGAAAGCUACUGUACCAUACUGUAACCAGGCUUCUGGGAAAGCUGCUGUACCAUACUGUAACCAGGCUUCUGGGAAAGCUACUGUACCAUACUGUAACCAGGCUUCUGGGAAAGCUACUAUACCAUACUGUAACCAGGCUUCUGGGAAAGCUGCUGUACCAUACUGUAACCAGGCUUCUGGGAAAGCUACUGUACCAUACUGUAACCAGGCUUCUGGGAAAGCUGCUGUACCAUACUGUAACCAGGCUUCUGGGAAAGCUACUGUACCAGACUGUAACCAGGCUUCUGGGAAAGCUGCUGUACCAUACUGUAGAUCAGGCUUCUGGGAAAGCUGCUGUACCAUACUGUAA